CCUACGGGUGGCAGCAGUGGGGAAUAUUGCACAAUGGGCGCAAGCCUGAUGCAGCCAUGCCGCGUGUAUGAAGAAGGCCUUCGGGUUGUAAAGUACUUUCAGCGGGGAGGAAGGCGGUGAGGUUAAUAACCUCACCGAUUACGUUACCCGCAGAAGAAGCACCGGCUAACUCCGUGCCAGCAGCCGCGGUAAUACGGAGGGUGCAAGCGUUAAUCGGAAUUACUGGGCGUAAAGCGCACGCAGGCGGUCUGUCAAGUCGGAUGUGAAAUCCCCGGGCUCAACCUGGGAACUGCAUUCGAAGCUGGCAGGCUAGAGUCUUGUAGAGGGGGGUAGAAUUCCAGGUGUAGCGGUGAAAUGCGUAGAGAUCUGGAGGAAUACCGGUGGCGAAGGCGGCCCCCUGGACAAAGACUGACGCUCAGGUGCGAAAGCGUGGGGAGCAAACAGGAUUAGAUACCCGAGUAGUC
RNAcentral lists this ribosomal RNA (464 nucleotides) under uncultured bacterium. Its description in RNAcentral is "bacterial SSU rRNA". It matches the Rfam family "Bacterial small subunit ribosomal RNA", at positions 338 to 795 of the family's 1533-position model. The record is from RNAcentral.